AACGCGAAGAACCUUACCUGGUCUUGACAUCCACGGAAUUCGGCAGAGAUGCCUUAGUGCCUUCGGGAACCGUGAGACAGGUGCUGCAUGGCUGUCGUCAGCUCGUGUUGUGAAAUGUUGGGUUAAGUCCCGCAACGAGCGCAACCCUUAUCCUUUGUUGCCAGCGGUCCGGCCGGGAACUCAAAGGAGACUGCCAGUGAUAAACUGGAGGAAGGUGGGGAUGACGUCAAGUCAUCAUGGCCCUUAUGAGUAGGGCUACACACGUGCUACAAUGGCGCAUACAAAGAGAAGCAAACUCGCGAGAGCAAGCGGACCUCAUAAAGUGCGUCGUAGUCCGGAUUGGAGUCUGCAACUCGGCUCCAUGAAGUCGGAAUCGCUAGUAAUCGUAGAUCAGAAUGCUACGGUGAAUACGUUCCCGGGUCUUGUACACACCG
Molecule: ribosomal RNA, 434 nt
Filed under: bacterium 189
Lineage: Bacteria
Also listed under: 1 other name
Description: bacterial SSU rRNA
Rfam family: Bacterial small subunit ribosomal RNA
Source: RNAcentral